AGCAGCGAUCAGUCCACGAAAGCAUUAACCACUCCGGGCUGGGCUGCUUCCUGAGGAUAACUCCGUUCCGACCUACGUUUGUGCCGGCCCAGACUAACUUGAAGGAAGGCUUUUAGUUUGUAGAAAUCUUUAUUAUUUAUUUAUUCUUACACCGACACGAGGAAUCAUCGAUCACAAUAAAGAUGGCGACAGCCGCUUUACCAUGGUAACAGGGCAGUCAUUUGCUAACAACCUUGGCACUUUCACUUUAGUUCCGCCUUGUUAGGGAAAGGAAGUGCUUGGUUCCACUCCAGCAGCGUGCCUGUUAUUUUGUAAAUUUAGCUGGAGUGUUUGGUGGAAUAUGAGGAGAGUCGCGGCAGUCUAGGGAAUGAGAGAAUGAGGAGCGCUCAACUUCAAGGCGGCAACAUAGCUGAGGAUAUGGACAGAAUCCAGAAGAUUCAAGAUUGUUCACCUGCUUAAGGGCUGCCUUCUGAGGUACAUUGCUUGGUAGCAGGCCAGGGAGUUAGGUGGUCAACUGAAUUGGAGUAAGAUUUUCCUUGUUGUUGACAACGGCAUGGUGACCUCUUGCUGCUGAAUGAGAACUGCUUCCAAACCAAGCAUUGGGGAAAGCUGGAACCAGAGUUCUGGGAGACUGUUGCAUUGACACAUGGAACCCAGGGUUUAGCAAAACAAAGGUGGAUAUCACUGUACCACACUUAAACUCCAACAGUGUGCUUCUGGGAAUGCUUUUGAUGGGAUCCAGUACAUGUUCUCCUUUGAGAUCGCCAAGAAGCUGCAAGUGGCAUCACUGCCUGGUACUGGAGAAGCAUGUGGGGGGGUCUCUGCAGGUGACCUUUCUAGGGACAUUUGGCGUUAUGUAGCUGUCUCUUUGCCAGACCCAUAAUCAGGUUCAGUCCACUCCUGAGUCUCUAUUGGUCUUUAUCUUAGAGACCAUAAAAAAUCAUGUCAUUUGAAUAUGAAAUAUUCAUAUUAAGGUAAACUGAACACCAAAUCUCUUUUUGUUAAUAGAAUUAAAAAGAUUUUAGUAUCCUCCUAGCAAAUUUUGUAUCCCCUUGUUAGGUGACCUCUUUAAAAUUAUUCCUUUAAG
Molecule: long non-coding RNA, 1087 nt
Organism: Lynx canadensis (Canada lynx)
Lineage: Eukaryota; Metazoa; Chordata; Mammalia; Carnivora; Felidae
Exons: 4
Source: RefSeq, a predicted model, not a curated record